Long non-coding RNA from Empidonax traillii (willow flycatcher), 534 nucleotides. RefSeq lists it as uncharacterized. Lineage: Eukaryota; Metazoa; Chordata; Aves; Passeriformes; Tyrannidae. The record is from RefSeq and is a predicted model, not a curated record. The transcript has 4 exons.
AUUGGGUUUAUGAACUUUUUUCAGUCGGCCUCUGUCUUCUAAAUGGUCUGCAGCCAGCCCAGCAAGUUUUGCAGGCAGAGUUUCAGGCAGCAGCAAGGGUGUUCCAAGCCCUGGAACCCUGCAGAGGUCUCGCAGUGACAUCGACGUCAACGCUGCCGCAGGCGCGAAGGCCCGGCACGCUGCUGGGCAGGCAGCUGGGGCUGGGCGCUUGUCAGCUGCUGGUCUGCCUCCAGGAUCCUACGCUUCCCUAGAGGAUACUUCUGACAAGAUGGAUGGAACAGCUUCUGAAGAUGGUAAGAAAAUAUUUUGUUAGACUAGUUAAUAUUUUCAGCUUCAUAUUUUCAUUGAUACAAAUUAAGCUUUAAAAGUAGAAUAUGGUCUUUCUGGGGCUUUGUGGAGGUUCAUAACAGACAGCUUAUGCAUCUAAUACUUGGUUGUCAUGUAGUAUUUUUAAAAUUCUUUUGCUUUUAAUUCUCAAGUAAUUUUCAUUUGCAGUGUAAGUGUCAUUGCUUAACAUUCCUACUGUCAAAAUGU